AGCGCUUAAUUUGCUUUAUUACUAUAUAGUCUUCUCCUACUUGGCUUCCUUUCUCUCUCCCUUAUGAAAGCUUGGAUGGUAGAGGGGGGCGGGGUAGCUGGUGAGCUCUCCCUAAAGCAGGUACUUACUUCCCCUCGCCCUCAGUCUCUGCGUCUCUCAGACCACCACUGACAAGUGUCGAUAUGUGGAAGUAGUUCCCUCAGGUCCACGCUGGGAGCAGUCACUUCAAUGGAAAGCUCUGUGGUCCCUGCCAGCAACUCUGGUCCACAGAUGUCUCAGGACGCACGCAGCCCCGCCCUUUCUCGGUGGCGGCAGUGGGGCUUGCAAAUGAUCGGGCACACCAGAAUUGUAACCGACCUUAAGGUGGACUUCCGCAAAAGGAACCAAAGAAACCUGCGGGCUCUGUCUACUCACCCAGGGAUCGCUUUCCUGGUGGUGAAAUGAACCCAGCUUCUUAGUGGAAUGGAGCAAUCACUGGAUGCCAGUAACACUACCCUACAAUGUGUAGAGGGGGAAAUGAAGGCUAGCUCAUCCGAAGGAAACUACAGGGGAAUUUUAGAUCAGCAGAAUGCAAUUAUCCAAGUUGGAACUGUUCCAGGACACCAAAAGCGAACUUUAAAGGUGGGUAAAUUGAAUAGCAUUUCUCCUCAGUUGCAGGGCAAGCAACCACAUCCCUGACAAGAUGGGUGCUUGUUCUCUUUAUUUGUCUUUACUUUGUGAAAACCAGUGGCCAAGGCCCUGGCCACUGUCACAGGAAAUGGAGUGUGUAGACCAUUUGAGCAGAAUGGAGAGCAUCAAAUCUAAUAACAGGCACCCUACGCUCUACAGCUCUCUAAAAAGUGAAAGAAGACAUUUUUAGAAUCUGUUUCAAGACACAAUCUAUUUGUUGACCAGGUAUUUAGGAAGACUAUGUUCCCAGCCCCUCUUGCAUCUAAGUGGGACCACAUAACUAAGUUCCUUCUGGCCAGUGGAAUGUGGGCAGAAAUAUAUUACUCGACUUCUAGUUGGGCCAUAAAACACACCUCUUGGUCUGCCAAUUUCUCUGUCUCUGCUUCUCUGUCUGUCUCUCUCUCUCACACACACACACACAUAUACACACACACGUGAAGGACCUUCUUAGAGAGCAGCUAUGCGGAAGAGUCACGCAAGCUACGUCCGACUGUACCACGAACAAGGAAAAAAAAUUUUUUUAUUGUGUUAAGACUUGGAAGUUUUUGUUAUACUGACAGAGAUAUGUUGACUAAUAUAAUAUCCAUAAUAAAAAUGGAAUUCUCUUGAAUUCCAAGAUGGAGAAAGUUGAAAAGUCA
RNAcentral lists this long non-coding RNA (1307 nucleotides) under Ailuropoda melanoleuca (giant panda). RNAcentral describes it as "lncRNA (ENSAMEG00000023638.1)". The record is from RNAcentral. Lineage: Eukaryota; Metazoa; Chordata; Mammalia; Carnivora; Ursidae.